UCCGGCUUAUCACCGGCGGUUUCUUUAGAGUGCCCAACUAAAUGAUGGCAACUAAAGACGAGGGUUGCGCUCGUUGCGGGACUUAACCCAACAUCUCACGACACGAGCUGACGACAGCCAUGCAGCACCUGUGCACGAGUCCCGAAGGAGGCCCCUCGUUUCUGAGAGGUUUCUCGUGUAUGUCAAGCCUAGGUAAGGUUCUUCGCGUUGCGUCGAAUUAAACCACAUGCUCCACUGCUUGUGCGGGCCCCCGUCAAUUCCUUUGAGUUUCAGCCUUGCGGCCGUACUCCCCAGGCGGGGCACUUAAUGCGUUAGCGCCGGCACUCAGAGGGUCGCUCCCCCAAGCACCUAGUGCCCAUCGUUUACGGCGUGGACUAC
This 378-nucleotide unclassified non-coding RNA is filed under the name uncultured Gemmatimonadaceae bacterium. RNAcentral describes it as "contains 16S-23S intergenic spacer region". Lineage: Bacteria; Pseudomonadati; Gemmatimonadota; Gemmatimonadia; Gemmatimonadales; Gemmatimonadaceae. The record is from RNAcentral.